RNAcentral lists this long non-coding RNA (611 nucleotides) under Rhagoletis pomonella (apple maggot). RNAcentral's name for it is "uncharacterized LOC118735246, transcript variant X2". Lineage: Eukaryota; Metazoa; Arthropoda; Insecta; Diptera; Tephritidae. The record is from RNAcentral.
UACAAAUGUGCCAAUCGUGUAAAACUGCGUUAAGAAUUUUGUCUAGAGUAAUCCAGAAAUUUGGUGAUACAUUUCUUCUGAACGCCGCGGCAACACUGGUCACAUAUGCAUCCACAUUAAGGCGUAUCACGGGAAAAAGUUUAGUGUGUGUCAGUUUUAUGCAUAUAUGUAAUACUCCUAUAUUGGCAGUAACAGCCAGUAUAGUCCGAAAACAUUACAGUGCAGAUAUAUCAAUAAACACGUACAAAUACACGUACACAUACGUUUAUAAAUACCCUGCAGUGCAAAGUCAAAGCAGUCAGUAAAAAUACCAGUGCAUUAACUAGGAUGUGCCAAUUGACAAUUUCGAAGAACUUAAGCGUUCAGCGACAUCUGCCUUUGAAUUGACAACACCAAACAUAAAACGCAAUUAAUUGCUUUUCUUACAAAUGUCGGUUGUGGCGUCGCAUGAAGACUGACGGUUCUGGUGCUGAGAUCGCAGGUUUGAGUCCGCUUGGAGGUGGUUAAGAUUUUUAAAAUUAAUUCAAUAAAAAACAUGCAUAUGGGAAGAGAUACUUGUGCCAUAAAACAAGAAACUAAUUUCAUUUUUUCAUUUCAUUUUAUUUCAUUUC